Nilaparvata lugens (brown planthopper) is the source of this 715-nucleotide long non-coding RNA. RefSeq lists it as uncharacterized. Lineage: Eukaryota; Metazoa; Arthropoda; Insecta; Hemiptera; Delphacidae. The transcript has 2 exons. The record is from RefSeq and is a predicted model, not a curated record.
ACCUAAUGAUAAAUCUAUAAUGUAAUAAUGGAAAGAAUCGGCUUGUACACGUAGGGGAUUGGAUAUUUUUCAAUGACGCAUCAUCCCCAGGAGACGUCUCCACCGUUCAGCUGCUUUGGGAUAAUACAUAUUAUAAUUUGAAUGAAUUUAUGAUUGAUGAUUCAAAUUUUUAUUGAAAGUGGUCAUAUUUUUGUUUUUUUAUUUGACCACUCUACAUUAAGAUUGUACACAAUAAUAAUAAUGUGGGUCUGUUUUUGCAGUUGCUUGGUAUGGAUUGUAAGACACAGAAGAAGACGCAUUUAGAUGUUUUUGGAUCUUGAAUCUUGAUGCUCACAGAAAAGCAAGUCAACCAGACAGGCUCUGAAAAUUGAUGAAAUGGAACAAAUUAUUUGGACAAGACACUAGAAAAAUUGUACUCGGUCGGUUUUGAAAUCAUACCUCAAGAAACUUGCGAGAUCUUCGUCUGCACUGCACUAGCAUUUUAGGUAACUAUCCGAAUAGCCUACUAUUUUGUAUUCAUUUCAGUGACAAAUUUUCAUUUGUACCGUAAAUGAAUAAAUGAAUAUCACAACUGAAAUAGAGAGCAAACCUUUGUUUAGGAGGAAAUUAAAAGACUCGAAUAGUGCUUUUACAGUGCUACAGAACUUUUCGAAUCAAGACAAGUUGAACUCAUGAUUGCUGUGUUCAGAAAUAAAAGUAUUAAUUCAACAUCAUA